This 609-nucleotide ribosomal RNA is filed under the name Ambrosiozyma platypodis. Its description in RNAcentral is "LSU rRNA". It matches the Rfam family "Eukaryotic large subunit ribosomal RNA", at positions 23 to 652 of the family's 3401-position model. Lineage: Eukaryota; Fungi; Ascomycota; Pichiomycetes; Pichiales; Pichiaceae. The record is from RNAcentral.
ACCCGCUGAACUUAAGCAUAUCAAUAAGCGGAGGAAAAGAAACCAACAGGGAUUGCCUUAGUAGCGGCGAGUGAAGCGGCAAGAGCUCAAAUUUGAAAUCUGGUACCUUUGGUGCCCGAGUUGUAAUUUGAAGAUCACAAUCUUGAAAUUGGUCCUUGUCUAUGUUCCUUGGAACAGGACGUCACAGAGGGUGAGAAUCCCGUGCGAUGAGGAUACCUUUUUCAUUUAAGAUGUGUUCGACGAGUCGAGUUGUUUGGGAAUGCAGCUCAAAGUGGGUGGUAAAUUCCAUCUAAAGCUAAAUAUUGGCGAGAGACCGAUAGCGAACAAGUACAGUGAUGGAAAGAUGAAAAGAACUUUGAAAAGAGAGUGAAAAAGUACGUGAAAUUGUUGAAAGGGAAGGGUAUUUAAUCAGACUUGGUAUUUAGCUAUCUCUUCUCCUUGUGGGAGGGGCUCUAGCUUUUUACUGGGCCAGCAUCAGUUUUGGUGGUAAGAUAAUCGCAGUCGAAUGUGGCUCCUCGGAGUGUUAUAGCUUCUGUUGAUGUUACCUACUGGGACUGAGGUCUGCGGCUUUCCCCUAGGAUGCUGGCGUAAUGAUUAAACACCGCCCGU